This is a long non-coding RNA of Capsicum annuum, 227 nucleotides long. RefSeq lists it as uncharacterized. The transcript is spliced from 3 exons. NCBI's taxonomy places the organism in Eukaryota, Viridiplantae, Streptophyta, Magnoliopsida, Solanales, Solanaceae. The record is from RefSeq and is a predicted model, not a curated record.
AGAUAACUUGCUUUAUACAGGUUACUUUGGGUUCAAAAGCUAAUGUACUUAAUCAACCUAAAAGCCAAUAGCAAGAAAGGUUGUCGUUUCUCGUGCUUCCUGUACAGAGAAAGUUAGCCACAGGUUAUAUCAAAGUGUAAACAGGGAUAAGGAGAGUGUAAAUUCAUGUCAACCAGUCGUGAAACAGAAUGGAUCUAGUUUCCGCUUCAAAACAGAAGAGCGGGCCA